RNAcentral lists this ribosomal RNA (100 nucleotides) under uncultured bacterium. Its description in RNAcentral is "partial 16S ribosomal RNA". It matches the Rfam family "Bacterial small subunit ribosomal RNA", at positions 411 to 508 of the family's 1533-position model. The record is from RNAcentral.
AAGGUCCUCUGGAUUGUAAACUUCUUUUAUCUGGGACGAAACACUGGUUUUCUAACCAGCUUGACGGUACCAGAGGAAUAAGCACCGGCUAACUCCGUGC